GGAAAGUACCACUCAGUAGGAUGCAUUAGGGACUCUGGACAGCAGGCCACGAGUGAGACAGACUGGGAUCACCCAGGCUUGACAACUCAUAACAGAUGUGCCAGCAGUGACAGCCUAUGACUUCGAAGCCUUGGCUUCCAGAUGCCCUGAAGCUUGCACUUCCACCCUCGAUGAACACUGCUGCCACAGGAGCAAACCCAUCUGUGAGGUCCAGUGCCUGAGCCCCGAAGGCACUCCUCCAAGAAAUGUUGCCUGA
This is a long non-coding RNA of Myotis daubentonii (Daubenton's bat), 256 nucleotides long. RefSeq lists it as uncharacterized. NCBI's taxonomy places the organism in Eukaryota, Metazoa, Chordata, Mammalia, Chiroptera, Vespertilionidae. The record is from RefSeq and is a predicted model, not a curated record.